CGGGGCCCCGCUCGGGCCCGGCGGCGGCGGCGGCGCGGCGCGCGCGGUUGCUAUGGGAACGGCGGGCGGCGGAGCCAGGCCGGGGCCCUGCGGAGGCGCUGGCGGGUCCCGACCGAGUCCCCCGGGCAGCGCCCGGUGCCCCCGCCGGCCGUAGUGCUCGUCCCUGGGGGUGCCGCCUGGCCGGGCGGGGGCGAAGGGCCGGACUGUGCGUGAUUUCUUUGCGUCAAAAUUUCACCGGGGUGAAAGUGCAUCAGUUGUGAUUGUUUAGAAAUAACCCAGAUGAUGGUGUCUGAUCUACUGUCAGUUCAUUGUCAUAAACUGUGUGAGAGAAUAGAAGUUACCAGAUGGUCUGAGUCACAGUGCAGAAACAUAUUUUUGUUUUUAGUACUUUGCAGAGGAAUGCAAGCUUCAAAGACUGAAAAUAGAAGAAAAGCAGAACCAUUCUACUGGCUGUCAGUGGCAAAGCCUAAGACCAGUUCUGAGAUUGUAAAUGAAGCCAGAGAUGCUCUACAAACAGUAAAAACUCAAAGGCUAUUCACACCUACAGAUGAACAAAGGAAACUUUUUGGGUCUCAAUCCUCACGAUGUCCUCAAAAUAGAUGCCCUCUACUUUAUAGUCUUGAUACUUCCAGUUCUGAUUCGUCUGAAUCAAGACCGAAUUCUGCUGUUCGUCUAAGUCCACUGACUCACAAACCAGUAGUAAUAAUUUCUGAAAAAAAAGAUGAAGCUUCUUCUGUUUUCCAUCCAACACCUCCUGCUGAUGCUGCAGAGGUUAGAAAAGUCAGCAGUGCUUGCAAACGCUUAUUUAGAACACCUUCUCUGAAAGAUUUAUUUUCUCCUAAGGUGGUUCCUCUGGAUCAGAAUGGAGUGAAACUUGAUUUUGAAGAGCCAGCUACGAUGAUGAAUAGUCUUGACAGAAGUAAUAGUAACUGCUUAGCAGAACAAAAGUUGUACACAUCAUUUAAUGAUGAGAGUAGACAAUUAAUUUGUAAUGAACAUACCAGCAGAUCAGGAAUUGAAGACUCCAUGGAAGGAACACCAGGAAACUUUUCACUUCAGCUUCAAGGAGAAAGUGACCAGAUGGAGGAGCCUGGCAAAAAGUCAUCUCAGCUGAGGACUUCAGGCCAGAAGAGAAGAGUAACAGGCCUAAAGGAUGAAACAAGAAUAAAUGAAUGGGAAGAGGAAGAUUUCUUUUGGCAUACAAGGAUUCUUCCAAUUCUGCGUGACCUGGAAAAAAGAGAAGACAAUAUAGAACACCUUUGUCUAGCUUGUACCAAGCUCCAUCAAGCAUUGGGUGAUGGAAAUAUGCUUGGAAAAAGAUUUAAAAGAAGAAAUAUCCUUCUGAAGACAUUAUAUAGACUUGUAGACCUUGAUUCAGAUCCACUUUCCCUGAAGCUGGCAAAGAUUAUUCUGGCUAUGAAAGUAGAUGGAAAAAAUCUUCUUAGUGUUUGCAAGCUAGCAUUUAAAAUUUGUAGGAACGAAAAAAAUUAUUUCAUCAUUCAAAAUGAUACAUUAUUGGAUUAUUUGUUGCAGGUUCUGUGGAAUGAAGAUCUACAAACAAACCACGAAGCUCUCGUCUAUUGCAUGGCAGCUAUAAAAGUCAUGUCUGAAAAGGAAGUGCUCCGUUUUAAAAUGGUCAGCAAAGGAGCUAUUGAAAUGUUUCUGGAAUUAAUGAAGCAGAUUAAUAACAUAAAAGAACAUGACACAUAUUUCUCCAAGUUGGGCCACUUAUUAGUCCAGCUGUGGCUAAUGCCUGUCCCUUGCCGUGCGCAGCUGGCAGCCACCCUGCGGAUCCUGGCCAACUGCGCCCAGGCGCGCCGCCAGCUCAGCCCCGGCGCCGCCAUCCCCGAGCUCUGCGUGGCGCUGGAGCAGCGCAGCGGCGACAAGGACGUGUGCAUCUGGAUUGUCAGCGUGCUCAGCAAACUUUCUACCUACAAUGACUUCUGUGCAGCAUUAGCAGAGUGCUCCAGAUGUUACAUUGUAUUUUUAGCCCUGCUAAACAAAUACCAGAAGCAGCAGGAUUUGGUUAUCCGUAUCAUCUUCAUUCUUGGUAAUUUAACAGCAAGGAAUGACCAGUCCCGGGAGCAAUUUUUUAAAGAAAAAGAAAGUGUUAACACCUUGACAUCAUUAUUCCAAACCUACUAUGAACUUGAUUUGAAUGAAAUGACAUGGCACCAUGAUAGAAAAGGAAAAAACCAACAAAAGUAUCCUUCAGAAGCAGAAGAUGUUCUGAUAAAACUGAUAAGAGUGCUGGCCAAUCUCUCCAUUCACCCUAGAGUAGGUGCAGCUCUGGUAGCUGCCCAUCCUGUUGUAGGAUUACUUGUUACAGUACUAGAAUACAAGUCAGUCGAUGCCUGUGAAGAGUUGGUCAUCAAUGCUGCAACAACAAUCAACAAUUUGUCCUACUACCUAGUGGAGAAUUCUGCAGUUCAAGACAAGAAGCUACACAUUGCUGAAAUGCUUUUAAAGCUGUUAAUGAGUGACAAUAUGGAUGCAGUUGUGGAGGCUGUCAGAGUCUUUGGCAAUCUUUCCCAGCAUCAUGAGAUCCGUGACUUCAUCAUGCAGAGAAAGAUAUACAAGUUUGUGAUUGCUUUGCUGGAUUCCAAGAACCGAGAGGUCUGUUUUCCUGCCUGUGGAGUUCUGCUCAAUCUCACAGUAGAUGAGAACAAAAGAGCUUUUCUCAUGGAAGAAGGAGGAAUUGGAAAGUUGGUUGACUGCUUACAAGACUUUGGGCCGGCAGACUGGCAGCUCUCGUGUUUGAUCUGCAAGACCCUGUGGAACUACAGCGAGAACACGGCGAGCUCCUCCUGCUUCGGGGGCAACACCAGCGCGCUGCUGGCGCUGCUCACUGCACUUCUGGGUGAGACUCCUAGCCCUGGCCUCUUUGCCUCAAGGAAAGAGACACAAGGAGCAAAAUCAAAGCAGGAUGAAGAGGUAGAGUUGGAGGGCAGCCUUGACAGAGAUAUAAAGGACUGCCAAAGAGUAUAUUGGGAAAGAGAGUUCAAACCCGUGGCAGAAAAACUUCUUGACAGAAUUCAAAGCCAUCACUCUUCCAGCUGAGUCUCACUCCAUUUUAAUCAGUCGGAGUGUUUUUAUCAGCUGAAAGGAAGAUAAAUGGCUUCAAUGUCCUAUUUGUUUCUGGGAGAAAAUAAUGGAUUUGCUUUGAGAGAGUAUUAAAGAAAGGAUGAUGGGUAAGUAGUCCCUGUGGGGAAGAAGCUGGAGGCAUUUGUUCCUGGCAUUUGUGUCACUGCAAGGCAGGCAAACACCCAGCUGUGCAGGGCAGGGUGGGGGCACUGGAAAAGGCCCCUGUGGCGAAGCCCUGUUAGCAGGACUAACCAGAAUUGACAAGGGCUGAAUCUCUGUCAGAAGGCAGCUGAUACUGAUGGCUGGCUCAAGUCAAGGUGGUGCUUGGGCAAUUAAGAUUUGUUCAAAUACAACACUGAUUAUGUCAGUUAUUCCUGAUCAAACUGUAACCAAGAGCCUGAAGCACUGUGUCUGCAGCUGGGCAGAGCUGGGCAUCCUGGGGCAGCCACCACCACGUGUGAGCUCUGGCCUUUGUACAGGAAGAGGCACGUUCAGAGGAGCUGGAUGGAGAAGAGAGGGUGGCACAGGGCUCUUGAGCACCUCUCCGGCUGAGCUGUACAGCCUCUCUCUUUCUCUGAAGAAAAACCUGUGAGCAGCAAGAAGCAGCCCCAGCAUGCUGGAUUUCAGGAGUAUUUCUUCAAAUAAUUUGGAAAAGUCUUAAUAAAUUCAUAUACAGACUACAGCUGCACUACCUGAAGAGCACACAAACAUGCUUUCUCUCUUCUCUCUCUCAAAACGCGUGGCCAUCUCUUCUUGGCUGGCUUCCUCUUCAUCUCUGCACUCCUGCAGCUGCUUCAUCUUCUCCAUAAGAGCUUCAACUUCACAGACAGACUCUGUAGACUAAAAAGAAGAGAAAGACAUUUCAUUUUCAUGCAACGGGAACUGACAAUGAUGGCAGUAAUUACCAAGCCAGAAAGUUUAAAAACAACUGAAGUCCUUUACAUCUUUAAAUAAAGAUUUUCCAAGGAACACAGUUUUUGAAAGAAA
RNA transcript from Passer domesticus (house sparrow), 4071 nucleotides. It is a transcript of the gene named armadillo repeat containing 2, with no coding region annotated. The record is from RefSeq and is a predicted model, not a curated record. The transcript has 22 exons. Lineage: Eukaryota; Metazoa; Chordata; Aves; Passeriformes; Passeridae.